GAUGAACGCUGGCGGCGUGCCUAACACAUGCAAGUCGAGCGAACGGACGAGAAGCUUGCUUCUCUGAUGUUAGCGGCGGACGGGUGAGUAACACGUGGCUAACCUACCUAUAAGACUGGGAUCAGUUCGGGAACCCGAAUCUCAAACCGGUCAUGAUUUAGAACGGCAGGGUUCAUCGGUGAAGACGGGUUUAGAUGUGCCUAAUGCUGGGUACCUAGCUGCAUUAGCUAGUUGGUACGGUAACGGCUUACCAAGGCAACGAUGCAUAGCCGACCUGAGAGGGUGAUCGGCCACACUGGAACUGAGACACGGUCCAGACUCCUACGGGAGGCAGCAGUAGGGAAUCUUCCGCAAUGGGCGAAAGCCUGACGGAGCAACGCCGCGUGAGUGAUGAAGGUCUUCGGAUCGUAAAGCUCUGUUAGUAGGGAAGAACAUAUGUGUGAGUAACUGUGCACAUCUUGACGUUACCUAAUCAGAAAGCCACGGCUAACUACGUG
This 497-nucleotide ribosomal RNA is filed under the name uncultured bacterium. RNAcentral's name for it is "partial 16S ribosomal RNA". It matches the Rfam family "Bacterial small subunit ribosomal RNA", at positions 28 to 507 of the family's 1533-position model. The record is from RNAcentral.